RNAcentral lists this ribosomal RNA (214 nucleotides) under Ephydatia fluviatilis. Its description in RNAcentral is "partial 28S ribosomal RNA". It matches the Rfam family "Eukaryotic large subunit ribosomal RNA", at positions 1 to 209 of the family's 3401-position model. Lineage: Eukaryota; Metazoa; Porifera; Demospongiae; Spongillida; Spongillidae. The record is from RNAcentral.
UGGACCUCAGCUCAGGCGUGACUACCCGCUGAAUUUAAGCAUAUCAAUAGGCGGAGGAAAAGAAACCAACAGGGAUUCCCCCAGUAACGGCGAGCGAAGCGGGAAUAGCUCGAGCCUUAAAUCUCCGGCGCACAGCCGGCGAAUUGUAGCCGAGAGAGGCACUUGCGCUCGACGGUCGGUCGACCAAAGUUGACCUGGAAAGGCACGUCGAAGA